This 468-nucleotide ribosomal RNA is filed under the name uncultured bacterium. Its description in RNAcentral is "partial 16S ribosomal RNA". It matches the Rfam family "Bacterial small subunit ribosomal RNA", at positions 28 to 507 of the family's 1533-position model. The record is from RNAcentral.
GACGAACGCUGGCGGCGUGCUUAACACAUGCAAGUCGAACGGAAAGGCCCUGCUUUUGUGGGGUGCUCGAGUGGCGAACGGGUGAGUAACACGUGAGUAACCUGCCCUUGACUUUGGGAUAACUUCAGGAAACUGGGGCUAAUACCGGAUAGGAGCUCCUGCUGCAUGGUGGGGGUUGGAAAGUUUCGGCGGUUGGGGAUGGACGCGCGGCUUAUCAGCUUGUUGGUGGGGUAGUGGCUUACCAAGGCUUUGACGGGUAGCCGGCCUGAGAGGGUGACCGGCCACAUUAGGACUGAGAUACGGCCCAGACUCCUACGGGAGGCAGCAGUGGGAAAUAUUGCACAGUGGGCGGAAGCGUGAUGCAGCAACGCCGCGUGCGGGAUGACGGCCUUCGGGUUGUAAACCGCUUUCGCCUGUGACGAAGCGUGAGUGACGGUAAUGGGUAAAGAAGCACCGGCUAACUACGUG